GAAUUUUGGACAAUGGGCGACAGCCUGAUCCAGCAAUGCCGCGUGCAGGAUGAAGGCCUUCGGGUUGUAAACUGCUUUUGUACGGAACGAAAAGCUUUGGGUUAAUACCCUGGAGUCAUACCGGUACCGUAAGAAUCAGCACCCGCCAACUACGUGCGCGCCGCCGCGGUAAUACGUAGGGUGCAAGCGUUAAUCGGAAUUACUGGGCGUAAAGCGUGCGCAGGCGGUUUUGUAAGACAGAGGUGAAAUCCCCGGGCUCAACCUGGGAACUGCCUUUGUGACUGCAAGGCUAGAGUACGGCAGAGGGGGGUGGAAUUCCGCGUGUAGCAGUGAAAUGCGUAGACAUGCGGAGGAACACCGAUGACGAAGGCAACCCCCUGGGCCUGUACUGACGCUCAUGCACGAAAGCGUGGGGAGCAAAC
Molecule: ribosomal RNA, 422 nt
Filed under: uncultured bacterium
Lineage: Bacteria
Description: partial 16S ribosomal RNA
Rfam family: Bacterial small subunit ribosomal RNA
Source: RNAcentral